AGCGGAAGAAGAAGAAGAAGAAGACCGUGGCUGUGGAGUCUAUUGUGGAGCCAAGCCUGGUGGAGCUGAGUCCGGCAAAGCUAGCUCUUCCGGAACCACCCGAGGUGCUGGAGUCGCCGGAGCCGUCUCCAAAAUCUCUCGAGGUUGCUACUCCUUCCACAGCGAUUACUUCUACGAACUUAAACGCGAGCGAGAGCAAGCCAUCGCCGUUCGACCGGGGAAUCAAGCUCCGGGGACGCAAGCUGAGGAAGAGAUUCAAUGGAAGGGUCUUUCGCGGCGAAGUUGCGGACUACGACAGAAGGAACCGACGCUACAAGGUCCGAUACGAAGAUGGCGACGAGGAGCAGCUAAUGUGGAAGGACGUGGGGCCGCUGCUGGUGCCAUUCGAGGAGCUGCAUACGUGGGACGAUCCAAACUAUCAGCCACAGCAAACGCGAGUUAUAAGCUCGGAGCUCCUCGCAGUGGAGAAGAAGGCCAGGGAGGAGAAGCUAAAGCUUCCAAAACUCAAGCCUCAAGUCGUCAAGAAAGAGCGGAAGGAACGUUGAAACAGGUGAUCCAAAGGUCGUCCAAAGGUCGUCAACGUACAUCAGCUGCAAAAUUUUAACUUGAAUUCAUUACGUUGUAGCACGUGGUGUAGAGACCUGGUAGUGACGUGUUGUUUCUAGCCGCCGCGUUUUUCCAGGUGCAUUCUAGCUGCAGGCUUUUACUGACAUAGACUUGUACUUUAGGGCAAUGUUGGCAUCAAUCAGAGAGCAUCAAAGCAUCAUCGCAUCCUUGCCCGUAGAUUUCUCUUGCCGAAGAGCAGCAUCACAGGGCUUGGCAAUGGAUCAAAGGGCCGCAUCUCAAUGCCUGGCAAUGGAUCGGCAAUCGUGGGUAUUCACCAAACAGGUAAAUUGCUCUUGUGGAGGAGGAGGGAGAGCUACUGGAUCGCUACCAUCACGCUUGCAUUGGCUUCCAUCGCCUAAUAAGCUUCCCCCGAUCGCUCGCUCCGUGCGGAGAUUGCCAAGUCCUCUGGCGGCGGCGGCAGUAAAUACCAACGGUUCUUGCGCGGUUAGAGAGAACCACCGGGAUUAUGUGCAUUGGUUCAGGGAAGCGUGGCCAUACAUCCAAGGCCAUCGCGGCAGCACAUUCGUGAUCGUUGUCCCAGGCGAGAUUUUGGCAAAGCGAGAGACUCUAGACAAUAUCUUGCAGGAUGUUUCACUGCUCCAUGGAUUGGGAAUCAGAUUGUGCUCGUUCCGGGGGUCCGCGUCCAAAUCGACGAUCUUCUCCGGGAGAGGGGUAGAGAGCCGAGAUAUGUUGGAGCUUACAGGAUAACUGAUGCUCACGCUCUCGAUGCUUCCAUGGAGGCGGCUGGAAAAUUGCGCGUCGAGAUAGAGGCGAAGCUCUCACGGGGACCAAGCAUCCCUGUUCUUCGUCGGCAUGGCGAGAAUGAAAGGUGGCACGAGUCCGGCUUGGGUGUUGCGAGUGGGAAUUUUCUGUCAGCAAAGCGAAGAGGCGUGGUCAAUGGAGUGGACUUUGGAGCGACUGGAGAAGUGAAAAAGAUUGAUGCGGAACGCAUCAAAGAGAGGCUCGACAAGAACUGCAUCGUCCUGAUGAGCAAUCUUGGGUAUUCUAGCACGGGAGAGGUUCUAAACUGCAAUACGUACGAGGUGGCGACGGCGUGCGCGGUGGCUCUUCAGGCUGACAAGCUUUUGUGCCUGCUCGACGGUCCGGUUCUUGACGAGAAUGGAUUCCUGAUUCGCUUCAUGACACUUCUUCGGGCCGACCAGCUGAUAAGACAGCGCGCAAGCCAAAGUUACAUCGCUGCCGAUUACGUGAAGGCUCUGGCGGGGGCAAGCUACGCGAAAAGUCUCGGUCUAGCGGACGUUCCUUUCACGAAUGAAAGGCGCGGUUUUUAUGUGAGUGCGUCCACCGGCGACUUAGCACUCAGCGAAGAGAACUAUGAUUCCUGCGGGAAGGGGUUUGCUGUUGGUGGCUUGGUGCGGACACAAGGAUACUUAUCGGAGUUGACGGCCUCUGUUCACGUUUGUCGGGCAGGGGUAAGGCGGGUCCAUCUCUUGGAUGGUACCAUUGAGGGAGCUCUUCUCCUUGAGCUUUACACCAGAGAUGGAAUAGGCACGAUGAUCGCAAGUGAUAUGUACGAAGGCAUUCGUUGUGCCACCAAGGACGAUCUUCAGGAUGUAGAGAAGUUAUUGCGUCCUCUGGAAGAAAGUGGGAUACUCGUGAAAAGGUCGCGGGAAAAGUUACGAGGGGAGCUGGAGCAUUAUGUCGUCGUGGAAAGAGAAGGAUCGUUAAUUGCCUGCUGCGCACUGUACCCUUUCCUCAAAGACAAAUGCGCAGAAGUUGGAGCUUUCGCUGUUUCUCCCGAGUGUCGCGGCCACGGCCAAGGCGACAGCCUACUCGAUUAUGUGGAGCAAAAGGCUGCUGCAAUGGAUUGCCAGUAUCUCUUCCUCUUGACAACUCGCGCCGCAGAUUGGUUCGUUAGCAGGGGAUUUUUCCAGUGCCCCCUGGAGCAACUGCCGGCGGCGAGGCGGUCCGGAAUAGACUUCACGAGAGGCUCCAAGUAUUACAUGAAGUCCUUGCAGCGCACAGCUCGCCCUCCAGUUUUGAGGCGAUGUCUCGAGUCUAUAGAGUAGAAGAUGUAUACGCGGGCGAGAAUAAUGCGUCAAGCUUUUCGGGAUGGGAGAAAACUUUCUUCCACAACUUGGCUGUACUUGUCCGGGAGAGCAUUCGAUCGAUCCAGUCGUCCUCGCGGAAGAGCGAGCGAGCGAAAGAGAGGAGAAAGAAAACUGGUUUCUUGGAAGCGAGAAUUUUGCCGAGCAGUGGUGAAUGCCAAUACAGCCGGUGUGAUUCUUUGGUACAAAAAAAAAAAAACCAAGCACACUCCUUUAAAACAUUAAA
This is an RNA transcript of Selaginella moellendorffii, 2901 nucleotides long. It is a transcript of the gene named probable amino-acid acetyltransferase NAGS1, chloroplastic, with no coding region annotated. The transcript is spliced from 13 exons. NCBI's taxonomy places the organism in Eukaryota, Viridiplantae, Streptophyta, Lycopodiopsida, Selaginellales, Selaginellaceae. The record is from RefSeq and is a predicted model, not a curated record.